GAUGAACGCUGGCGGCGUGCCUAAUACAUGCAAGUCGAGCGAACAGACGAGGAGCUUGCUCCUCUGACGUUAGCGGCGGACGGGUGAGUAACACGUGGAUAACCUACCUAUAAGACUGGGAUAACUUCGGGAAACCGGAGCUAAUACCGGAUAAUAUAUUGAACCGCAUGGUUCAAUAGUGAAACACGGUUUUGCUGUCACUUAUAGAUGGAUCCGCGCCGCAUUGGCUAGUUGGUAAGGUAACGGCUUACCAAGGCAACGAUGCGUAGCCGACCUGAGAGGGUGAUCGGCCACACUGGAACUGAGACACGGUCCAGACUCCUACGGGAGGCAGCAGUAGGGAAUCUUCGGCAAUGGGCGAAAGCUUGACGGAGCAACGCCGCGUGAGUGAUGAAGGUCUUCGGAUCGUAAAACUCUGUUAUUAGGGAAGAACAAAUGUGUAAGUAACUAUGCACGUCUUGACGGUACCUAAUCAGAAAGCCACGGCUAACUACGUG
This 497-nucleotide ribosomal RNA is filed under the name uncultured bacterium. RNAcentral describes it as "partial 16S ribosomal RNA". It matches the Rfam family "Bacterial small subunit ribosomal RNA", at positions 28 to 507 of the family's 1533-position model. The record is from RNAcentral.